UUGGUAUGGUAUAUUCAUACCAUAACAUAUGAACAGUAAGAACUAGAAUUCUUAUCGAUACUGGAAACUCAUAG
RNAcentral lists this transfer RNA (74 nucleotides) under Colocasia esculenta (taro). RNAcentral's name for it is "tRNA-Ile". The record is from RNAcentral. Lineage: Eukaryota; Viridiplantae; Streptophyta; Magnoliopsida; Alismatales; Araceae.